UUGAACGCUGGCGGCAGGCCUAACCCAUGCCAGUCGAGCGGAUGAAGGGAGCUUGCUCCUGGCUUCAGCGGCGGACGGGUGAGUAAUGCCUAGGAAUCUGCCUGGUAGUGGGGGAUAACGUCCGGAAACGGGCGCUAAUACCGCAUACGUCCUGAGGGAGAAAGUGGGGGAUCUUCGGACCUCACGCUAUCAGAUGAGCCUAGGUCGGAUUAGCUAGUUGGUGGGGUAAAGGCCUACCAAGGCGACGAUCCGUAACUGGUCUGAGAGGAUGAUCAGUCACACUGGAACUGAGACACGGUCCAGACUCCUACGGGAGGCAGCAGUGGGGAAUAUUGGACAAUGGGCGAAAGCCUGAUCCAGCCAUGCCGCGUGUGUGAAGAAGGCCUUCGGAUUGUAAAGCACUUUAAGUUGGGAGGAAGGGCAGUAAGUUAAUACCUUGCUGUUUUGACGUUACCAACAGAAUAAGCACCGGCUAACUUCGUG
Molecule: ribosomal RNA, 483 nt
Filed under: uncultured bacterium
Lineage: Bacteria
Description: partial 16S ribosomal RNA
Rfam family: Bacterial small subunit ribosomal RNA
Source: RNAcentral